Molecule: ribosomal RNA, 497 nt
Filed under: uncultured bacterium
Lineage: Bacteria
Description: partial 16S ribosomal RNA
Rfam family: Bacterial small subunit ribosomal RNA
Source: RNAcentral
GAUGAACGCUGGCGGCGUGCCUAAUACAUGCAAGUAGAACGCUGAAGGAAGGAGCUUGCUCUUUCCGGAUGAGUUGCGAACGGGUGAGUAACGCGUAGGUAACCUGCCUGGUAGCGGGGGAUAACUAUUGGAAACGAUAGCUAAUACCGCAUAACAGUAGAUGUUGCAUGAUAUCUACUUAAAAGGUGCAAUUGCACCACUACCAGAUGGACCUGCGUUGUCUUAGCUAGUUGGUGAGGUAACGGCUCACCAAGGCGACGAUACAUAACCGACCUGAGAGGGUGAUCGGCCACACUGGGAAUGGGACACGGCCCAGACUCCUACGGGAGGCAGCAGUAGGGAAACUUCGGCAAUGGACGGAAGGCUGACCGAGCAACGCCGCGGGAGUGAAGAAGGUUUUCGGAUCGUAAAGCUCUGUUGUAAGAGAAGAACGAGUGUGAGAGUGGAAAGUUCACACUGUGACGGUAUCUUACCAGAAAGGGACGGCUAACUACGUG